GAUGAAGAACGUAGCGAAAUGCGAUACGUAAUGUGAAUUGCAGAAUUCAGUGAAUCAUCGAGUCUUUGAACGCACAUUGCGCCUUUUGGUAUUCCGAGAGGCACGUCUGUUCGAGCGUCAGUAAAACCCCUUCCGGGCACUUUUUUUUAGUGCCUCGGGACCAUGGCGUCGAGGAAUAUAGGUGCGCCUGCCGCUGACCGCGGCGGCGUUGAGCCUUCCCCCGCUUAAAUAGGUGAAUACGACAGCGGGCAUCCGGCCCCCAUAUCUGCGACGACUCGUAAAACCUCUUACCGUCGUUCCGUCGGAUUGGACCUGCCCCGCCUCUUGAAACUUACAAACCUGACUCUUGACCUCGGAUCAGAUGAGGAUACCCGCUGAACUUAAGCAUAUCAAUAAGCGGAGGA
This 404-nucleotide unclassified non-coding RNA is filed under the name soil metagenome. RNAcentral describes it as "partial contains 5.8S ribosomal RNA, internal transcribed spacer 2, and large subunit ribosomal RNA". The stretch from base 1 to 120 matches the Rfam family "5.8S ribosomal RNA", at positions 35 to 154 of the family's 154-position model. The record is from RNAcentral.